AGAAUAGAAGCUACUGGAGCAUUUGAUUGUUACUCAAAUAUAGCACAAUACAAUUUGUGCCUUUUCUG
Molecule: transfer RNA, 68 nt
Filed under: Goniobranchus leopardus
Lineage: Eukaryota; Metazoa; Mollusca; Gastropoda; Nudibranchia; Chromodorididae
Description: tRNA-Asn
Source: RNAcentral